GGCGUAAAGAGCUCGUAGGUGGUUUGUCGCGUUGUUCGUGAAAACUCACAGCUUAACUGUGGGCGUGCGGGCGAUACGGGCAGACUAGAGUACUGCAGGGGAGACUGGAAUUCCUGGUGUAGCGGUGGAAUGCGCAGAUAUCAGGAGGAACACCGGUGGCGAAGGCGGGUCUCUGGGCAGUAACUGACGCUGAGGAGCGAAAGCGUGGGGAGCGAACAGGAUUAGAUACCCUGGUAGUCCACGCCGUAAACGGUGGGUACUAGGUGUGGGUUCCUUCCUUGGGAUCCGUGCCGUAGCUAACGCAUUAAGUACCCCGCCUGGGGAGUACGGCCGCAAGGCUAAAACUCAAAGGAAUUGACGGGGGCCCGCACAAGCGGCGGAGCAUGUGGAUUAAUUCGAUGCGACGCGAAGAACCUUACCUGGGUUAGGCAUGCACAGGACGCCGGCAGAGAUGUCGGUUCCCCUGUGGCCUGUGUGCAGGUGGUGCAUGGCUGUCGUUAGCUCGUGUCGUGAGAUGUUGGGUUAAGUCCCGCAACGAGCGCAACCCUUGUCCUAUGUUGCCAGCGGGUUAUGCCGGGGACUCGUAGGAGACUGCCGGGGUCAACUCGGAGGAAGGUGGGGAUAACGUCAAGUCAUCAUGCCCCUUAUGUCCAGGGCUUCACACAUGCUACAAUGGCCGGUACAAAGGGCUGCGAUGCCGUGAGGUGGAGCGAAUCCUUUCAAAGCCGGUCUCAGUUCGGAUCGGGGUCUGCAACUCGACCCCGUGAAGUCGGAGUCGCUAGUAAUCGCAGA
This 792-nucleotide ribosomal RNA is filed under the name uncultured Mycobacterium sp. Its description in RNAcentral is "bacterial SSU rRNA". It matches the Rfam family "Bacterial small subunit ribosomal RNA", at positions 557 to 1348 of the family's 1533-position model. The record is from RNAcentral. Lineage: Bacteria; Bacillati; Actinomycetota; Actinomycetes; Mycobacteriales; Mycobacteriaceae.